GGGGAAGUCAUGUGAUGUUCAAAAUGGCGGACACCACAACGUAAACAAUGUGAAAUAUUCAGUUUCCAUAUGUCACAUUUAAUUGAUGAUUGCCGACCAAAUUUAGGGAGUAAAAUAUUGUGCAACACUUUGGAUAAUGUCAUGUGUUUAAUUCUGUAAAGCAAAGAGAAGGGAGUCCAAAAUGAGAAAAAACCUGGCUUAUCAGGAUUUGGACAUAAUUCCUGCAAAUUUGGCAGAAACCGAGGGUGAAUCUUUGCAAGAAAUAGAUCUGACUCACAACAAAAUAUCAUAUCCUUUCUUAAUCACCAGAAUUUCCUUUUCUAUGUUACUGAUUAUA
Saccostrea cuccullata (small rock oyster) is the source of this 337-nucleotide long non-coding RNA. RefSeq lists it as uncharacterized. The record is from RefSeq and is a predicted model, not a curated record. The transcript has 3 exons. NCBI's taxonomy places the organism in Eukaryota, Metazoa, Mollusca, Bivalvia, Ostreida, Ostreidae.